CUUAAAGCAUACGAGUUUUUGAAACGAAAAGAGCAAUAUCAACUCUGUUGAUAUUGCUCUUUUCGUUUUAUUUUGUAGUUAGUAGUCUUUUUUUUUUUACAGAUUUUUACAGAAAUUUUUGAUUUAUUUUAACAUUCUUUAUUUCAUCAUAAGAUAUUUUAAAAAUUGGAGUUUCAUAUUUUUCUUAUUUUGUAAUUUARAAUUGAUGUCUUUUUCUUAUCAAUUUGAUCUUUUUUUAAUCCAUAUGACUUCCGAAUGUAAAAAAAAAUGUUUUCUCCUUCUCUUAUUUUAUCUUARAAUAAAGUAAAAACUGAAAAGAGAAAAAUAAUGAAAGAGUUGAACUUGAAGUCAAACUCAUUUU
This 361-nucleotide unclassified non-coding RNA is filed under the name Gompholobium virgatum. RNAcentral's name for it is "partial miscellaneous RNA". Lineage: Eukaryota; Viridiplantae; Streptophyta; Magnoliopsida; Fabales; Fabaceae. The record is from RNAcentral.